RNAcentral lists this ribosomal RNA (351 nucleotides) under uncultured Pseudomonas sp. RNAcentral describes it as "bacterial SSU rRNA". It matches the Rfam family "Bacterial small subunit ribosomal RNA", at positions 1032 to 1382 of the family's 1533-position model. The record is from RNAcentral. Lineage: Bacteria; Pseudomonadati; Pseudomonadota; Gammaproteobacteria; Pseudomonadales; Pseudomonadaceae.
CGAAAGGUGCUGCUAGUGGUUGUCGUCAGCUCGUGCCGUGAGGUGUCGGGUUAAGUCCCGUAACGAGCGCAACCUUGUCCUUAGUACCAGCACGUUAUGGUGGGCACUCUAAGGAGACUGCCGGUGACAAACCGGAGGAAGGUGGGGAUGACGUCAAGUCAUCAUGGCCCUUACGGCCUGGGCUACACACGUGCUACAAUGGUCGGUACAAAGGGUUGCCAAGCCGCGAGGUGGAGCUAAUCCCAUAAAACCGAUCGUAGUCCGGAUCGCAGUCUGCAACUCGACUGCGUGAAGUCGGAAUCGCUAGUAAUCGUGAAUCAGAAUGUCACGGUGAAUACGUUCCCGGGCCUU